Molecule: long non-coding RNA, 10780 nt
Filed under: Triticum aestivum (bread wheat)
Lineage: Eukaryota; Viridiplantae; Streptophyta; Magnoliopsida; Poales; Poaceae
Description: long non-coding RNA (TAES_LNC022112)
Source: RNAcentral
UUUCUUUUUAGUGUAGUUCUCUUUACCGUGUUCCUAAUGAUUGUCAUGUAUGAAUGUGUUGCAGGCAUCUUGCAUACCAUAUUCUCGUGGGUGGGUGCAGCGAGGGGCUGGGCAAGCGCGGUGCACAGUGGAUGGAGGUCAUCUCGUGGGAGCCCAGGGCGUUCGUCUACCACAACUUCCUAGUAAUCACUGCUGCUGCUGCCCACUCUGCCUUCCCUUCAACACCCAUAAUCACUGCUGCUGCCGCCAUGGUUCAUUCAGUCCUGCACCUGCUCAUGCAUGCACACUGUCCCGUGUUUGUAACUAUUCUAGUUACUAUGAACAGCAAGCAACCAUUCUAGUUACUACCUAGGUGUUCACAGAUUGUUGUAUUAUUUAUGUUCUUUUUACUCCCAGAGUUAUUGUUCACAUUGCCUGUUUUUCUUGGUGCAUACAUGUAUCUCAAGCAUUGCACUUAUGUGUUUGCUUAGGCGGAUAGUGGGCAGAUCUACUUUGCUGCUUUCCUGCUUACGUUAGUGUUGCCAUUGCAUUUGUUUGGUUCUGGCCUCAGCAGCAGUAUACUAAUGCUUCAAGAUCUAUUUAUUUUUCUGUUCAUUAUACUAAUGCCUCAGCAACAGUAUACUAAUGAUUGGUAUUCAAUUUGCUGCUUACGUUAGUGUUGCUACUGUUAUCCAUGCCCUCAUGCUUGUGUAUCUGUUUAUUAUUCUAUUCACUAUUCUUUUCCUAGUUGUUCUUUGUUGGAAGAUAUUGCUUUCAUUGACAGCCAUGAUAAUGAUAAUUUCCUCUCUUCUACAGGAGCUCUGGGUUGAAGAAGUUCGAAGAAGGGAACACUUCAUCUUUGUAGCUAGUUUUAUGUUCCUGGGUGUUUACUUCAUAGAUGUUCCUGGGUGUUCCUGGGUGUUUGUUUACUUCAUAGAUGUUCCUGGGUGUUCUAAAUUCCUGGAUGAUGUGGACUACUGCAUGAUUGUAAUAUAUAUAAUAUACUCAUUUUGGACGUCAUUUGUGAAAAUUUGUGUGGUUGAAAUAUUGGAAAUAUUGAUCAUUUAUUUUUUUUGAGGUGCUGAUCCUUAAUUGCUGAUACAUCAGAAAUGAAGCAAAUACUAUUUGGUCCCUAAAAAGGCCACAAAUCAAACAAUUCAGCAAAAAUGAACAAAAAUUGCUUAAAAAUCAAUUGUGAAAAGGUGAAGGCCAAGAAAAUAAAAAGGCCUAGGCCCAAAAAUAACGAGGCUGAAAUGUUGGGCUUGCCCAUCUACCUAAUCAAAAUUAAUAUGAGAAAAAAACACGAAUAGGCCGAAUUGUUGGGCUCGGCCCAUGAGAAAACCGAAUUGGACGGGCUGAAUCUUGUGCCACAUCAGCUUGCCACGCUGGAUGCCUACGUGGCCUGGGGAGGUUUCUAGUGACCAAAACGCCACAGUAGGCAUAUUUUGGUCGUAAACGUCUACGACCUUCUCACAGAGAAGGUCGCUAUAGUCAGUUUACGACCCUCAGCUUUUAACCUUCUAUUUUUGGUCACAAAAAGGUCACAAAUGAAAAACCAUGACCUUUCAGUGACCAAUAGUGGUGGUCACAAGUUGACAUAUUUCUUGUAGUGGGUCCCAGGGAAGUCUAGCAUGGGAGAACCAAGAGGCUCCCCCGAGCCCAUGGCAUGCUUCCUAGUUGACAGCCCGAAGGAGGAAGAUGUGUUGCAUCUGGCUGUAAUUCUGUAUGGGUGUGUUGAGGAACUGAGCGACCCUUGGGUGGUCCUAAGAAUGAAACACAAGUGUUGUUAGUUGCGAUUAGGAGUAGGUAAUGGUGGGCAGUAUAAAAAGGAAGAGGGCUGCGAGCUAACCGCGAUAUGGCCGGCGUAGUGCUCUGCCGCCAGAACUAUGGAGCAAGUGUUCUCAUCCCAUGAGGCGCCGCUAAGGUCUCUCAGCUUGGACACUUGGAUCCAUCGACCUCUCCACUUCCUUAAGUGGUUGCACACCUGGGUGGCAGACACCUCCUGCCCACAGAACUCGAACACCUGCUUCGCAACGGUGUUCAAGUGCACCUCCUUGAAUCCCUUGUCAGUCCUAACUCCAUUGGAGCUGAGCUCACACAUCUUGUUCAUGAACGUGGACAUGAGCAGGUGCCACUUCAUGUUGUUCGACCUGCCAUCCUUCUUUGCCUUUGUUGUUGCUACCUUGAGUACAGCGGCAGCAGCAGCACCAGGAGUUUGCUCAACGAGCACUACUGGCACAUAGACAGAAUCAGACGCGAACACCUCUGAAUCAGGUGCCAUCUCGGACAUAGGCUGCGAGUCCUCAACAAGCGAUGGAACAAACUGGCUGUCGGACAGGACAAGGGCCUGACUAGGAUCUUGCAUCUGCGUGGUCAUGUCCUACAAUCAUAGCACGCAUCGACAGUAAGCAUAGCACUCAACAUACCGGACAAUCCAUGAAAGCAGGAGCAUACAUGUGAUGGUUCAUCACUGUCAUACCAAGCACAUCUUCAUCACCAUCAUACUAAGCACAUGGUUCAUCGCUAUCAUACUAAGCAUACUGGACAAUCUAUGAGCAGGAACAUACAUCUACAACAAACAUCAUGCUACAAAUGGACCACCAAUAGCUACAAAUCACAGAUCUAAUCACAAAUCAACACAAGCACAAGGUUCAACUUCAAACUCUAAUACUAAUCUAGCCUACCACAUGCUUGAACAUCUAACCCUACCACAAAUUGCAACUGCAGCAUAGCAAUCAACCAUAUGAGCUCACAGAUCAGAGCACUAAUCAACCAUGCAUCUACAUCAAACCCUAGCUGUAGCUCAGAUCUAGCUAGAAGGAACAGAGAGAAAGGGGGAUUGAACUCACAGAGGCCAUGGCUGUAGCUCGAGGACGAGGGGGGAACGGUCAUAGAAGAUCACCAUCGGCCGGUGAAGGACCGCCGACACCGUGGACCGUCGGCCGUUGAAGAUGCGUCGCUUUCCUGCUCAUCGGUGCCGAUGCGCGUCGGCGGGAAAGCUCGAAAGGGAGGAGAAUGGUGGUGGGAGUUGGGGCGAUGAGGGAGGGGCUAAAUAGGGCGGACUCGGUGGGAGGUGAGACAAAAUCCUCUCGCCGAUUUUUUGGCGGCGCGAGCGAGCUCGCGCCAUCUCCCUAGUCGCAUGAGGAGAGAAGCGCAUCGCCCCCCCCCCCUGCGUCGCCCGAGCCAGGCUCGCGAGCUACUGCCGAUUCGGGCGUUUCCCUUGGGCCUGGCCUGGAGGUGCUUUAAUGUUGUGCCAUGCGGGCCGCACAGUAAACGCAGGCAACCAAACGUGCCACUUUCUUCCCGUGCGGGCUAGGCUGGGCCAUAUGCAGGCAACCAAACACGCUUUGUGUGGGCAUUGACUGGUCAUUUGUUUGUCCUCGCCCAUAAUCAUACUCCUCAAAGGUUCAUCCCCCAAAUUCAUACGAUUCAUGCAACUAUACGUAGAUAAAACAUUGUAACAUAAAUCAAACCUACUAUAUAAUACUCCAUCCGUCCUAAAAUAAGUGAUAACUUUAGUACAAAGUUAGUACAAAGUUGAGUCAUUUAUUUUAGGACGGAGAACAAUCCAACACAAAAGAUCAAGUAUAUCAUUGGACAAAGUUCAUCGCCGGACAAAUAUUAACUACAUACAAAAUAAACAAGAUAGACAGAGUAGGGCGAACAUCGCCAUUUUCUGGCAGAGCCCUUUCCCUUGCGGCCCAGAGCGGCGGUGGUAGAGGACCCUCCGUGUAGGCACCCCUGGCGGGAGUUGUAUCAUCAUCGUUCGUGCUAGUCAUGCCCCUGCCUGAUGAAGACGAGAUGAUGCUGAUGAGACGUCGGACGACAGGUGCCUACUCCUUGGCGAACCAUGUUGUCUUCGCCUUGGCGGUCUCCUUCUGCAUCGUGAGGCGUUGACUCUUCGAUACCGAGCCGGUGCGCCUUCACAUUCUUGUGGCGGAAGCGCCUCGGGUCCGUCUCCGCCAUGGUUAGCGACCGACAAAGGGCAUUGCGUAGAAGAUGCUCCUCCGGGUCGACAUGCAUGGAUCUCGCAUGUGUACGGAAGGAAACGGCCUCCACCGCCCUCUGCCCACCCCGCUGCCACUCGAGGCGUGUAGCUUUGGCCUCCGACUCUGACAUCCUCAUUCAUUAGCUCGUCGCGAGCACGGGCACCCAAUGCUGCCCGGUAGGAGGUGGGGCCAGAGGGAAAGGGAAGUGGCAUGCCCGGCGACGGAUCUGCAGUGGCGCAAAGCGCGAUGGCGCGUCACGCUCGGCCAAAUUGCAUCGUCGGGCCAUCGGGGACGAGGCGAAGUCAAGCUCCUGCCAAUGUCCACCCUCGAACGUUGGAUGGCAAAGCAGAGCACAAGAUCAUUGCCAUUCGAAGCCUCGCUGCUGGAGCCGUCCUCCUUCAAGAGCUCUUCCCAGCCAAUGGGAUCUGACUCGUUGCCUGAGGUGCUGCUACAGUGACUGCCGGAGUCGACCAUGGUACAGGGACGGGGAGGAGAGGAGACGAAGAGUGGAAGUAGUCAAGAGUGUGGACUUUGAUUAGGGUUUCGGCCGUCGGUAGGGUAUUUAUGGGGCCAAGGUGGGGCCGUAUCCGAUGUGACGAAUGCGUCCGGGCCUCCUCAUGUCUGCCCCAGAUAUUUGGGUGCCAAAUAGCCCGAUGGUUGGGCUAUGCCAGUUCCUCCGGGCGGCCUGUCUGAAAAUUCGGGGAGGAUAAUAAAGCCAGAAAUCCAGCAGUAUUCACAAACUGCACAAUUCUUAGACGAUAGCAACUUUGCUAAUUUAUUGAAGUGUUAUUCAUCACAGGAUUGUAAUCAAAGACUUACCCGGGUAUAUCAUCGUUCCUACUCUCAAAUUAUGUGUACUGCUGUCAACAUUUGACUACGACAGUAUAUAAAACAAGCCAAAUCAAGCAAUUUUAGGCCCUUCAAGUGCUAAAAAGAGCGAAAUAUUUUAACAGCAUCACACUGCAAUAAUCAAGCCACGACGGCGGAUAACAUACUGAUAUCCUGACAAUAUUUACAUGCGUGGACACAUACUUGCAGUGAACCCACCCAAUAAAAGCUGUACAUUUUUUUCUGGGAUAUUUUCUCCCAAGGACUGUUCCUAGCAUAUUUUAGAUGUAUAUAUGUACACCACUGAAUCCUGAGACUACCAUGGCUAGAACUAGCAAACCAUUUUUGAGAACAGAUCAUCUAGAGCCGAGUACAAGGGUUGCGCGGCUCUGGGCUUCUCCACCCUCCCAAACAGGAUAUCGGUCGUGGUCAAGUAGGCGUCCCCAUAGAAGCGCAGAUUGGUGUCUGAUCUGGUUGUCACAACAUUUCCUUCAAGAGAGACCCCAACAAAGGCACCUGUUUCAAGUUUUGAGAUGAAGCUACGAAUCAGAAGGAUACCAACAUACCUGUGAUGAAGCCUGCAAGAUUCUUAACAGGGAAAGCCAAACAUUGGAGACUGAAUUUAAUUGAAAAGGCAUCCUUUGGCUAAUGAGAAGACAGAAUGUGUGCCUAUGACCUUUUUUUUCCUCCUUAAAAAUGAGAUUGUACAGUAACUUUCAAAUUUAUUUUACAUGCCACAAUAAACACUCUCAAACUUGACAAAUAACUUCAGAGAGCAAGCUCAGUCCGAAGUUUAAAAACUUAAAUUUGUUUUUUUACUUGAUAACAGUGUUAAAAUUGUGCUGAUUCCCACCCAUUUCAAUCAUUUCUAAUAUUAAGCACAUCUGAAACGACAGCAAUAAUUCUCAGACGCGACUUUCUUAUUACCUUUGCUGCAGCUAUAAGUGUAGCAUAUCCCAGAACCUUUUUCACUUGCUCGAACAUCUGCUUCAAGGGCUCUGCCAAUUGGUCCUGCUGCCGCACUCAAUCCUGCCCCAAGAGAAAGAUGCAUGCGGCUGCUGAAUGCCUUGACAGCUUUAAGAUCAUGAAGCACAAUUAUAAAAUCUGUCAAUUCUCCUCCAAUCUGGAAAACACAAAGAAAUGUCAUUAUCAUGGUGAGAUGAUCUUAAGUAAUGACAUAGUGUAGUUCAGUGUCCAAAUAAUAAGAGCGCUUCAACAUAAACUUGUCUCUGAUAUCAUGCCAACCUUAUAAGCAAACAGGUCAUGAUGCUUAAUGCAUUUCAUGGAAAUUAUUCUGUGAAGAUCACAAGAAUAAAAUGAGUAACAUGCAUGUUCCUUUUUUCUGGUGAACAUCACAAGAAUAUAUCACCAGCAGAUAAACUUAGGCGUUGCCCGGGGAUUCAGAGAGAAGAUUUUACUGGAGAAAUACCUGCACUCCCCAUCCCAAUCCAACAGAUAAAAUCGCUGAUGGCGCAGACCAUGAUCCAUCUGAUCGGCGAGCAACUACAAGACCAGUGCCCAUUUUGUAUGUAAGAACCGCACCUGCUUUGGCCACUGUGAGCACAGCAAGCCCCUUUGCUCCCUUGAGGAUAGAUGAUGGGAUUGACUUCUCAGGAUUUAAUCUAGAAACCUACACAUACCAAAACAGAAACGCUUCUGAGCUCUGGAAUACAAGUAUAUAUCGGUUGGGUACAAGAUUAAACAUACCUGGCAAUAUUUCCUCAGUGUGUUUGUUGCCUUGUAUAUUUCAUACUCCAUUGACAAUCCAACAGGCAAAUUCAACCAGCUCCUCGUACUUGUCCAAUCCAUGACGUCAUGUUUGGCAGGCUGCAUGGCAUUACUGUUGUAGUUGAUCAAUAAGGCCUGGAGUGGAUCAAGUCUGUCGUAGCAAGCAUCACACACUCUCUGAGGAUCACGCAGUCUGAACUUCAUGGGCAUCAAGCAUCUUCCCUUGGAACAUUCUUUGCAGAAUAUACCUCCACAGAAGCGGCAAUGGUGCCUUCCACGAGUCAGAGCUGUGAAAGGAAAGCUGCACUGCAGGCAUACACUGGCAGAGCUAUCCGGUAACCAUUCCGGGGGAUCUGCCUGGAGCACCUCUCUGUAUGCACUGAACUGUAAAGCAUUUGCUUCAAGUAGCGGUGGUGCACUCGGAACGCAGACAGAUGAAUGCAAGUCACCAUCCUUGCCAGCGCCUAGAAAUGAUACAUCUGUGCUGAAACUUUGCUGCCGUGAUGCAUCAUCCCCAAUCUUGCUUGGACGCGAAACAAUCGCAGCAAGACCACCUAGCACGGUCUUCAGAUUGAUAGUUGAACUAGCAUGAGCUGUAGGGAACGGAUCUUCUCUUGAACCAUAUUCAGAUGGAAAGUCUGGUUCCAGAGAUGGCUCAUAGAGAUAGUCAUGCACCGGGUAAGUGUUUCCUGGAGCUAGAUCGGACAUAGGAGCUGUCUGGCUGUAGUAGCUAUCGAUUUUGGAGAGGGAUGAGUACGACAUCACUUCAUUUGGGGUCUCCAUGGAAUCAUGUAGCUACAGCACUCAUGUAGGUGAUAAGCAAUGACAGAGUAAGACCUAAAAACAGAGAUGGAAACCAAGAUUAAUAUGGUGCAGAUCCUUUAAAGUUUAUCUAGUUCGUAUAACAUUAUCGCAAGCUCAUUCUUUAAACCAAUUCGUUCAUUUUAUUGUCUACUUCUAGCAGAUAUAUCAAACUUCAUAGUCUACACACGUAUUUGAGAAUUAUAUGGCUAAGAACUGUGAUUCAUAGCAUUGUAAUUGAGCAAUCUAUUCAGCAACACACAUUGCAACAGAGCGACGAACAAUUCAUGUAACUCUAUGUGCAUCAUGAGUCCAAAACAAGAGGUGAAAUCGCAGCUGCACUACAGCAAAACACACCCAAAGUAACUCCCCCAAAACGAUCACACAACCACGUAUACCUAGCGUCCACGGGUAAGCAAGCAAUUGGGGGCAAUUUCUGAAACCCUAGACGAAAUAGAUGGGUCGAUCAGCCGAAAAUUUAACUUAACCCUGCCUAGCCAGUAGAACAUCAAUCGCGAACAAACACCACAGAUGAAUCAAAAAAUACUGCGUGAUGGGAUCAAACGAGUCGGCAGGGGUAAAGUAGCUAUGCUAAAUCAAUCGUCUCCAUCCAUCCGCCCUAACGAAUCACCCCGCCGNNNNNNNNNNNNNNNNNNNNNNNNNNNNNNNNNNNNNNNNNNNNNNNNNNNNNNNNNNNNNNNNNNNNNNNNNNNNNNNNNNNNNNNNNNNNNNNNNNNNNNNNNNNNNNNNNNNNNNNNNNNNNNNNNNNNNNNNNNNNNNNNNNNNNNNNNNNNNNNNNNNNNNNNNNNNNNNNNNNNNNNNNNNNNNNNNNNNNNNNNNNNNNNNNNNNNNNNNNNNNNNNNNNNNNNNNNNNNNNNNNNNNNNNNNNNNNNNNNNNNNNNNNNNNNNNNNNNNNNNNNNNNNNNNNNNNNNNNNNNNNNNNNNNNNNNNNNNNNNNNNNNNNNNNNNNNNNNNNNNNNNNNNNNNNNNNNNNNNNNNNNNNNNNNNNNNNNNNNNNNNNNNNNNNNNNNNNNNNNNNNNNNNNNNNNNNNCGGGAGGAAGCGUCGGGCGUGGGGAUUGGGGUGGGUUUCUUCCGUUCGCCGGCAAGAUGGAAGGGGGAAGAAGUUGAAGGGAGGAGCGAUGCGGGCACGCCGCACGCGGCUGCCUCAUCUGUACGUUAUCGGGCUCGGGCUCGGGCUGGGUCCUAGUCAAUCGGGUACCGUGACGGAUGCGGUUUGCUUUUCGGAGCCAUGGGGCCCACUUGAGGCCCAGGAAGGCAGGUGAUGCGGAUGAUGGGCCGGCCUAUCGUGCUGCCGUGUGACACCGGCCGUUCCGGCCUCCCCGGCGGCCGUGGCAGAAAGCGAAAGCUCGACCGCUCGAGGCUGGAGCGGCGCGACGGCGUGGCUCGCGCGGGUUUUGUCAGCAGCCGCGGCUGCGAACUGGCGGUGUGGAGGAGGGCGGGCGCCGACGCGUCCGGGUCACCCGUCUGCGCGCCUAUCGCGUGUGAGUCCUCUGCUCAGCUUGUUGCUUCGAUUCCGUGGAAAUAUCGCUGAAAUCUUUCGGGAGGAAUGCCCAAAUUAAUUUAUCGUCGAUCGUAAAUUUUGAUCUCGGGUGCCCCAAAAUCGAUCGCCCAGAACUACCGACCAGCGAGCUCUGAACGUUUUCACCCACCGCUGCCAAUCCUAGCCGCCGUGAAAAACAGAACGCAUCUCACCCAUCAUGAAAUUAAUCAGGAGCGGAAUAAACGAGUUAUACCCUUCAGUAGGCCAUGCAGAGGCCGCGGCUUUGGUGGCAGCAGCGGCGUCCUCGGCGGCCUUCUUGUCGGCUUCAGCUUUCUCGGCGGCGGCACGGUCGGGGUCGGUGGACAUGGUGAUGAUGAAAGCGAUGCGGACGUAGAGGAAGUAGACGAUCGGAAGCGAGCAGUCGCGUAAUCGCUGCCCAAAAACCUAUUCACCCCUCACCCCGUACAGGAACCAGAAGGGCGUGGUUUCGGAGACCUGCUCUCCUGUCGACCGUGUACGCGGUGAACGGGAUGGAGUCGCCGGCGGCGGCAGCAGCAGAGGAACGAUGUGGGCGUGGAGGCGGAAAUGCGUUCUGUUUUUCGCGGCGGCUAGGGUUGGCAGCGCCCCACAUAUAUAUGUGCGGCCGCGCGCGUGGAGAGACGUGGGCUGAACCCACGUCCAAGUCGGUAGCCCACGAUCCGACGUCUCAGAUCGUGGCCCUACCUGUCAAAGACUCUCCGUUCCUGACCGGCAAAAAGAAGCGCAUAGAAACGAGCUCGGCUCGGCUCAAUCCCGCGGCGCGGCGCGGCGCGGCGAGCGGAGGAGGAGGAGGAGUGCGCGAGGGCCUCUUCUCUUCUCAAGCUCUAAUAGCAUGUAGAAGAGCCACCCUUAUAAACCACUCCAACUUUCCUUCCACUAGCAUGGUGGGACUAAACUUCCCACCACCUUGUCAUGCCACCUACAUGGGCCCUUAGAGAUCAAAUUUGAAAUUGUCAUAUGGGCUCUAGGCCCAUCUCACAUUUCAACAAAGGUGUCAAGAGGUCCCUUGCUGUCAUGUGCAAUGCAAUUGCUCCCUAUUUGUCAAGUACUCCUCUUCCUAUGUAGUUUAGGGGGUUAAGGUGUAGCCCUACCGGGCAUUUUAGAGACAGGUUUUAUAGGAACGAAAUUACCUUUUCACUAUAUAUACUACGGGUUUUUAUUUGAAAAAUACAAUAUUCCAUACUAAAGGAUUCGGAUCCAUAACCACGAGUUCCAGUGCACUUAGGUCUCGUAGCCCUUGGCAACGAGGCCCUAUCAAUAGUAUUCCACAUAGGAAAUCCAUUCUAGAAAAACAAUUAGACAAACUUGGGUUUUGCAAGCCAAGAUAAGAUUGAGGCGGUGGAUGGAGAGUUCUACAAUGAAUUGGUGGGAUGAAGGUGCUAGCUUGGCAAGAUAAGAAGUUCAAUGUGUACGAUAGAUUUGGUCCUGGUGUCACCAUCCUUUUCGAGUUCUUAUAGGAUUAGCAAGAUGUUCUAGUGUUAACAAUAGAGAAAUUGAAUGAAUGAAAUAUAUCUAAAGAAGAAAGGAGCCAUGUCUUUGUAAAAGUCCGAAGAAAAGGGAUUUUGAAUAUGCCUUUUCCUUUUUCCCUCAGAAAAAUGACUCAAUCAAAAUCCGGUCCUAAUAAAUGUUAAUUGCACAGAAUGGGAAACUUGGGAGUAAAACAAAGACUAUCUUAUUCAUUCAUUCAAAUACUGUAUCCAUGAGAAAGUACCAACAACACAGCAUCCAUCCAGUUCCCCUACCGCGACAACACGGCCGGGGCCUCAACAGGAACUAAAGUUCAUACUGAAUCAAGAACGGUAACAAAGGACAAUCAAAGGCAUAACACUCUCCGAUCUGUGCUUCAUCACUGAAUCAAGAACGGUAAAGCGGAGCGCUCGCCCGCCAUUUAUUUCUCUGGUAAGGACAAAUCAU